UACGGAGGGGGCGAGCGUUAUCCGGAAUUACUGGGCUUAAAGGGUGCGUAGGCGGCUAUGUAAGUCAGGAGUGAAAGUUUGCGGCUCAACCGUAAAAUUGCUUUUGAUACUGCAUGGCUGGAAUUAGGAUGAGGUCAGCGGAAUGUGGCAUGUAGCGGUGAAAUGCAUAGAUAUGCCAUAGAACACCAAUUGCGAAGGCAGCUCACUACCCAGAUAUUGACACUGAGGCACGAAAGCGUGGGGAUCAAACAGG
This 253-nucleotide ribosomal RNA is filed under the name uncultured bacterium. RNAcentral's name for it is "partial 16S ribosomal RNA". It matches the Rfam family "Bacterial small subunit ribosomal RNA", at positions 524 to 776 of the family's 1533-position model. The record is from RNAcentral.